AUUGAACGCUGGCGGCAGGCCUAACACAUGCAAGUCGAACGGUAACAGGAAGAAGCUUGCUUCUUUGCUGACGAGUGGCGGACGGGUGAGUAAUGUCUGGGAAACUGCCUGAUGGAGGGGGAUAACUACUGGAAACGGUAGCUAAUACCGCAUAACGUCGCAAGACCAAAGAGGGGGACCUUCGGGCCUCUUGCCAUCGGAUGUGCCCAGAUGGGAUUAGCUAGUAGGUGGGGUAACGGCUCACCUAGGCGACGAUCCCUAGCUGGUCUGAGAGGAUGACCAGCCACACUGGAACUGAGACACGGUCCAGACUCCUACGGGAGGCAGCGGUGGGGAAUAUUGCACAAUGGGCGCAAGCCUGAUGCAGCCAUGCCGCGUGUAUGAAGAAGGCCUUCGGGUUGUAAAGUACUUUCAGCGGGGAGGAAGGGAGUAAAGUUAAUACCUUUGCUCAUUGACGUUACCCGCAGAAGAAGCACCGGCUAACUCCGU
RNAcentral lists this ribosomal RNA (489 nucleotides) under uncultured bacterium. RNAcentral describes it as "partial 16S ribosomal RNA". It matches the Rfam family "Bacterial small subunit ribosomal RNA", at positions 30 to 506 of the family's 1533-position model. The record is from RNAcentral.